CGCCUUGCCAGCCCGCUCAGAAACUCAAAUGAAUUUGACGGGGGCCCGCACAAGCGGUGGAGCAUGUGGUUUAAUUCGAUGAUACGCGAGGAACCUUACCUGGGCUCAAAUGUAUGUUGACGUAUUCUGAAAGGGAUACUUCUUCGGACAAUAUACAAGGGUGCUGCAUGGUUGUCGUCAGCUCGUGCCGUGAGGUGUCGGGUUAAGUCCCCAUAACGAGCGCAACCCCUAUCAUUAGUUGCCAUCAGGUCAAGCUGGGGACUCUAAGGAUACUGCCCCGGUUAACGGGGAGGAAGAUGGGGAUGACGUCAAAUCAGCACGGCCCUUACGUCCAGGGCUACACACGUGCUACAAUGGCCGGUACAAAGGGCAGCUACCUGGUGACAGGAUGCUAAUCUCCAAAGUCGGUCUCAGUUCGGAUCGGAGUCUGCAACCCGACUCCGUGAAGUUGGAUUCGCUAGUAAUCGCGCAUCAGCCAUGGCGCGGUGAAUACGUUCCCGGGCCUU
RNAcentral lists this ribosomal RNA (506 nucleotides) under uncultured Sphingobacteriales bacterium. RNAcentral's name for it is "bacterial SSU rRNA". It matches the Rfam family "Bacterial small subunit ribosomal RNA", at positions 903 to 1382 of the family's 1533-position model. The record is from RNAcentral. Lineage: Bacteria; Pseudomonadati; Bacteroidota; Sphingobacteriia; Sphingobacteriales.